GCAAACUUGGUCAUUUAGAGGAAGUAAAAGUCGUAACAAGGUAACCGUAGGUGAACCUGCGGUUGGAUCAUUAUUGAAUUAAUUGAUGGCAAUAUCCCUUCUUGUUGAAGGGCUCUUUUGCGCAUUAAUUUUACCCCCUAUGUGAACUGUUUUGUGUAUUUUGGCAGCCCUCCAAAACUUGGCUUUAAUUGGCAUAUUUCAUGUCUUGUUUGGUCAUUGCAAAAAUGAUGCAGUACUCGCUUGGAACUUUGUCAAGCCAAUGGGCUUGCCAGCAUUAAAAAAAAAAAGAAAACCAUGUGGAUCUUGUAAUUACUACUAUGUCUCCAACAGAAUCCUUUAGAGGAAUUUGUUUUUAAAAUUGAAAACAACUUUUGACAAUGGAUCUCUUGGCUCUCGCAUCGAUGAAGAACGCAGC
RNAcentral lists this unclassified non-coding RNA (415 nucleotides) under uncultured fungus. RNAcentral describes it as "partial contains small subunit ribosomal RNA, internal transcribed spacer 1, and 5.8S ribosomal RNA". The stretch from base 1 to 73 matches the Rfam family "Eukaryotic small subunit ribosomal RNA", at positions 1759 to 1831 of the family's 1831-position model. The record is from RNAcentral. Lineage: Eukaryota; Fungi.